AUACGAAGGGGGCUAGCGUUGUUCGGAAUCACUGGGCGUAAAGCGCGCGUAGGUGGAUCAAUUAGUUGAGGGUGAAAUCCCGGGGCUCAACCUCGGAACUGCCUUCAAUACUGUUGAUCUUGAGACCGAGAGAGGUGAGUGGAAUUCCUAGUGUAGAGGUGAAAUUCGUAGAUAUUAGGAAGAACACCAGUGGCGAAGGCGGCUCACUGGCUCGGUACUGACGCUGAGGUACGAAAGCGUGGGUAGCAAACGGGAUUAGAAACCCUAGUAGUCC
RNAcentral lists this ribosomal RNA (274 nucleotides) under uncultured bacterium. RNAcentral describes it as "partial 16S ribosomal RNA". It matches the Rfam family "Bacterial small subunit ribosomal RNA", at positions 523 to 796 of the family's 1533-position model. The record is from RNAcentral.